This 614-nucleotide ribosomal RNA is filed under the name uncultured organism. RNAcentral describes it as "bacterial SSU rRNA". It matches the Rfam family "Bacterial small subunit ribosomal RNA", at positions 828 to 1433 of the family's 1533-position model. The record is from RNAcentral.
GGUAUCGAUCCCUUCUGUGUCCGUAGCUAUCGCGUUAAGUACCCCGCCUGGGGAGUACGUCCGCAAGGCUCGAACUCAAAGGAAUAGACGGGGGCCCGCACAAUCGCUGGAGCAUGUGGUUUAAUACGACGCAACGCGUAGAACCUUACCAGGGCUUGACAUGCUGGUGGUACUGGCUCCGAAAGGAGACAGGACCCUUCGGGGAGCCAACACAGAUGUUGCACGGCUGUCGUCAGCUCGUGUCGUGAGAUGUUGGGUUAAGUCCCGCAACGAGCGCAACCCUUGUCCUUAGUUGCCAGCAGGUAAUGCUGGGGACUCUAAGGAGACUGCCUGUGAUAAGCAGGAGGCACGCUGAGGACGACGUCAAGUCAUUGUGGCUCUUACGCCCUGGGCUACACACGUGCUACAAUGGUCGAUACAAUGGGUAGCAAUACCGCGAGGUGGAGCCAAUCCCCAAAAGUCGGCCUCAGUUCGGAUUGGAGUCUGCAACUCGACUCCAUGAAGUCAGGAAUCGCUAGUAAUGGCGCAUCAGCUCCCGCUCCGUGAAUACGCUCCCUGGCAUUGUACUCACCGCCCGUCACAUCACCUGAGUUGAUUGCACCUGAAGUCACUGA